AUGCGGGAAGAAGCAGUACCGGAAGGAGCUGUGGACUGCAUGGAAGAGAGAAUGCCGGAAUGAGUAGCGAGAAUAAGGUGGGAAUCCUUAUGGCCGAAUAUCCAAGGUUUCCAGAGUAAAGCUGAUCUGCUCUGGGUAAGUCGGGGCCUAAGGCGAGGACGAGAGUCGUAGCCGAUGGACAACAGGUGGAGAUUCCUGUACUGCGGUAUGACAGAACUGUGGGGACACGUAAGGAAAGCGGAAGCCGGGAAUGGAGAGCCCGGUGCAAGCGGGGUACCAGCCACUUUGGCAAAUCCGGGUGGCAAUGGGAAGCCGUGAUGCGGAGCGAAAUAAAGUAGCGAAGUCCGUGAGCCAUGCGUCAAGAAAAGCCGCUAUCGUUUAUACCGUACCCGUACCGUAAACCGACACAGGUGGAUGAGGAGAGAAUCCUAAGGCCGGCGGAAGAAGCAUUGUCAAGGAACUCGGCAAAAUGGCCCCGUAACUUAGGGAUAAGGGGUGCCUGGGAAACCAGGCCGCAGAGAAUAGGCUCAAGCAACUGUUUAGCAAAAACACAGGUCUAUGCGAAACCGAAAGGUGAGGUAUAUGGGCUGACGCCUGCCCGGUGCUGGAAGGUUAAGAGGAGAGGUUAGCGGUAACGCGAAGCUUUGAAUUUAAGCCCCAGUAAACGGCGGCCGUAACAAUAACGGUCCUAAGGUAGCGAAAUUCCUUGUCGGGUAAGUUCCGACCCGCACGAAAGGCGUAAUGAUUUGAGCGCUGUCUCGACAAUGCAUCCGGUGAAAUUGAAGUACCAGUGAAGAUGCUGGUUACCUGCGCCAGGACGGAAAGACCCCAUGGAGCUUUACUCCAGUCUGGUACUGGGACUCGGUAUUGCAUGUACAGGAUAGGUGGGAGGCUAGGAGAUGGUAACGCCAGUUGCCAUGGAGCCGCUGUUGGGAUACCACCCUUGCAGUAUUGGGUUUCUAACCAGCCGCCGUGACCCGGCGGUGGGACAAUGCCAGACGGGGAGUUUGACUGGGGCGGUCGCCUCCGAAAGGGUAUCGGAGGCGCCCAAAGGUUCCCUCAGAAUGGACGGAAACCAUUCGAAGAGUGCAAAGGCAGAAGGGAGCUUGACUGCGACACCGACGGGUGGAGCAGGUACGAAAGUAGGGCUUAGUGAUCCGGUGGUAUUAAGUGGGAAUGCCAUCGCUCAACGGAUAAAAGCUACCCUGGGAUAACAGGCUUAUCACUCCCAAGAGUUCACAUCGACGGAGUGGUUUGGCACCUCGAUGUCGGCUCAUCGCAUCCUGGGGCUGUAGUAGGUCCCAAGGGUUGGGCUGUUCGCCCAUUAAAGCGGUACGCGAGCUGGGUUCAGAACGUCGUGAGACAGUUCGGUCCCUAUCCGGCGUGGGCGUAGGAUAUCUGAGAGGAGCUGUCCUUAGUACGAGAGGACCGGGAUGGACGGGCCGCUGGUGCGUCGGUUAGACUGCCAAGUCUACGGCCGAGUAGCCAAGCCCGGAAGGGAUAAACGCUGAAGGCAUCUAAGCGUGAAGCCCCCCUUAAGAUGAGAUAUCCCAUUCGAAAGAAGUAAACCCCCUUGAAGACGACGAGGUAGAUAGGGCAGAGGUGGAAGUGCAGCAAUGCAUGGAGCUGACUGUUACUAAUCGGGUGAGGGCUUGACCG
This 1659-nucleotide ribosomal RNA is filed under the name metagenome. RNAcentral's name for it is "bacterial LSU rRNA". It matches the Rfam family "Bacterial large subunit ribosomal RNA", at positions 1243 to 2925 of the family's 2925-position model. The record is from RNAcentral.